CCUUACCUACUCUUGACAUCCUGCGAACUUGGUAGAGAUACCUUGGUGCCUUCGGGAACGCAGAGACAGGUGCUGCAUGGCCGUCGUCAGCUCGUGUCGUGAGAUGUUGGGUUAAGUCCCGUAACGAGCGCAACCCCUAUCCCUGGUUGCUAGCAGGUAAUGCUGAGAACUUUAGGGAGACUGCCGGUGACAAACCGGAGGAAGGUGGGGAUGACGUCAGGUCAUCAUGGCCCUUACGGCCAGGGCUACACACGUGCUACAAUGGUGCGUACAGAGGGUUGCAAACCCGCGAGGGGGAGCUAAUCUCACAAAACGCAUCGUAGUCCGGAUCGGAGUCUGCAACUCGACUCCGUGAAGUCGGAAUCGCUAGUAAUCGCGAAUCAGAAUGUCGCGGUGAAUGCGUUCCC
This 407-nucleotide ribosomal RNA is filed under the name uncultured bacterium. RNAcentral describes it as "bacterial SSU rRNA". It matches the Rfam family "Bacterial small subunit ribosomal RNA", at positions 969 to 1375 of the family's 1533-position model. The record is from RNAcentral.